UUGUCCUGGACUUCCCUCCGCGCCGGAACGUGGAUCAGGACUUGCAGGAACUUUUUCGCCAGGAGUUUCACCGUGUGGCUGCACGCAAGGGUGUGAGGUACUACUCUAUUGCAGAGUUCUUUCCUCUCAGCCAGCGUGACCUGUGGAGUUGGGAUGGGGUGCACCUGAGUGAUGGAUCUGGGAUGAGGACGCUGGUGACAUUGCUAUGCGACAAAUCCAGUCUGGAGCUAGCGAUGGCUGUUGCACAGGAGGAGUCGCGUAGCAUGUUGCCAGCUGUUCCUGCUCCUGCUCCUCGUCUGGCUCCGAGGUUGGUUGUGGUUGGAGAGGCCCGCUCUCCACGUCCAUUGCACAACCCAUUGGAUUGGAAGGUGGUUGAACCACGC
Long non-coding RNA from Solea senegalensis (Senegalese sole), 383 nucleotides. RefSeq lists it as uncharacterized. The transcript is spliced from 3 exons. Lineage: Eukaryota; Metazoa; Chordata; Actinopteri; Pleuronectiformes; Soleidae. The record is from RefSeq and is a predicted model, not a curated record.